CCCUUUCCCCUCCGGCCUCUGCCGGUGCUGCUGCGCCCUGCGGAGCUCCGAACACGUGCGCAGAGGCUGGCUGUGGCAGAUGCAACUGCAGGAUGACUUGAAAGUAGGGCAUCCUUCACCCAUCUGAAGGGAGGAAAUAGUGGCAGGUGACAGUCUGCAUGUGCAGUUUUCAGAUCCCAAUCGCAGUGCUUGGCACAUGGCAGGACCUCCCUGAAUGUUGCAUAAAACAACUGAAAACACAGAAGGGGAUUCCUGUUAAAGGGUUUGACAACAGGGUCUGCAAUUAGUGCUUCCACGCCUGUUUUGCAGUCAAUAUUCAACUGAUACGUCUUCUACCUGGAGUGCCUAGAUGCCUUCACCUGAAUGACAUCUACCUCCAUCAGGACCCCAGAUGUCUGACAGCCCUGUGUGACACCAAGAUAAGUAACAAUCUGGCUGCUGACUACCCUAUUGGACAACUCCAAUAUUAGAGAACAUUUCCACCAAUUCAGAAAGUUUAUUAUGCACUGCUGUUCUAGAGCAGGGAUCAGCAAACUUGCUGUAAAGAGCCAGGAUCCCGUUGAAGAUACCACAUUACACUUAGGCUCCUGUUGGCCAUGACAGCUUCUUAGACUUGUUUUUAAUGACCUUGACAGUUUUGUUUUUUUGUUUGUUUGUUUUUGAGACGGAGUCUCUGUCAUCCAGGCUGGAGUGCAAUGUAAUGGCUCAAUCUCAGCUCACUGCAACCUCUGCCUCCCGGGUUCAAGUGAUUCUCCUGCCUCAGCCUCCCCAGUAGCUGGGAUUACAGGCAUGAGCCACCGUGCCCGGCUGCCUCCUAAAUUCUCAAAACAUUCCAUUUUUAUUCUGUGGUCUUACUUUAUUCUGUCAUGUAGAGAAUAGUGGUUGAGCCUGUUGUCUUUUGAGAGUGGAUGCUGUAGUCCUUACAUGGCUGACUUUCAGCCCGUAAGCUUAUAGUAGAGGAUGGGGAUUUUGUUAUCAGCUGCUAAAAGGGAGAAGCCAAGCCCAGAACUAAGGGUUCUGAUGAGUUGAAGGAGAGGGAAGAUGCCCCUCAAGGCAAAGAGCCUCUGAGUUAGAAUCUGUGCUUCACCAGAGUGACAAUGGUAGAACUUCUCCUUCUCAGUAUUAAUUCUCCUGGAGAGAACUCUAGGGUUGUCUAAACCUGUUCAACUAGGCUGACUACCCCAGCAAGUGAUGGGUUGGACAUAAGGCAAAGAACAGGAGGGGUGAAAGGGGGCAGAACAGACAAGUUCUGUCCCAGCCUCUGCUACCUCUAACCCCAUGGCAUUCUAUCCUUUUCUACACUGGGCUUCCAUUUCUUACCCCAACAAUGAUCUGUUCUUCCAGGUGCCGUCAUUUAAUUUCCCAGACACUUGACCUCCUUCUGAUUUGUGUACUCCCUCCAAGGCUGAGUUGCAGUGAGUGACAAUAAUCUGUGCUAAUUACUUAUCUUGCCAGAAGACUCAAAGGGUUUAUGGCUUUUACUAACUGAACUCUAUGCUAGAUGUUAGGGAUAAAUGGUUAACAGGACACAGUUCUUGCUUAUCUUGCUAUGGUCUGUCAAGCCUUAUACAAUCUAGCCUUAUCUCUCUCACCGUCUUAUCUUUAUCACCCGUAGAUUCCCUUGUUGGCCACUGGUUUCUUUCAGUCCUUAAUUAGCCUUUUGUCACUACCUGUCUACACAUGCUGUUUUUCCCUUCUCAUUCCAUCUUGACAUUGUCUAUUUUGAGAUCUCAGCUCAGUUGCAGAGAAGCUGCCUUCCCCAUCUGGCAACCCAUUAUAUGUGUCAUAGUACCAUGUUGUACCAUAGAGCUAGACACAGGUGCCAUGUUGUGUCUUGAAAUGUAUUCACCAGCUUCCAAAGGUUUACCUCAAUCCCCUUUACUCAAGAAGCCUCAGUUCUACUGACAGUUGGUAAUAAUAACCUCUCUGUCAUAAUGUACCCAAAAUAGAGUAAGAAUAUCAUGCUUUUCAGUAAUACUCCAGUGAAUGAGGCUAAGAGUACCAUUUUUGUUCUUAUAAAAGAAUUUUUUUGGACAUGAAUACAAAGAUGUCAGGUUACCAAAUCAUUUGCUAGUAGAUCCUAACAAUAUCACCUAUAGGAAACUGAACGUAGCCUUUAAACAUUAAGUGAUGAUAAUGGAUUUGGCCGGGCGCGGUUGCCUAUAAUCCCAACACUGAGAGGCUGAGGUGGGUGGAUCACUUGAGGCCAGGACAGGACCAGCAUGGCCAACAUGGUGAAACCCCGUCUCUACAAAAGAAAAAAAUACAAAAAUUAGCUGGGUGUUGUGGUGUAUGCCUGUAAUCCCAACUAUUUGGGUGGCUGAGGCACGAGAAUCGCUUGAACUUGGAAGGCAGAGGUUGCAGUGAGCUGAGAUCGUGCCACUGCACUCCAGCCUGGGUGACAGACUGAGACAGUCUCAAAAAAAAAAAAAGAAAAUAAUGGAUUUGCAGAGACUUGCUAUUUAGAUUUCAGACAUCUGUUAACUAAAACACAUGUGUAGGCUUUUGUUACUUAUUUCAGUAAUCUGUAAAUAUCUUUAUAUUUGAGAAAAUUUGUGAGACAUCUUUGUGUAAAUUAUAACUUGAAGAACCUCUCUUACAAGCAGGCAUAUUGGUAAGUAGCUGCGAGGAUAUAACUUAUAACCAGAUUGAAGUGUAUAAUUAUAAUAUGUUAUUAUUCUGGGGUUCUAUAAAAAAUAAAAUCUUUGAAUCUA
This 2714-nucleotide long non-coding RNA is filed under the name Homo sapiens (human). RNAcentral's name for it is "small nucleolar RNA host gene 4, transcript variant 9 (SNHG4)". The record is from RNAcentral. Lineage: Eukaryota; Metazoa; Chordata; Mammalia; Primates; Hominidae.